Molecule: ribosomal RNA, 512 nt
Filed under: Alternaria porri
Lineage: Eukaryota; Fungi; Ascomycota; Dothideomycetes; Pleosporales; Pleosporaceae
Description: eukaryotic LSU rRNA
Rfam family: 5.8S ribosomal RNA (bases 138-291)
Source: RNAcentral
UGGCCAGCCUUGCUGAAUUAUUCCACCCGUGUCUUUUGCGUACUUCUUGUUUCCUUGGUGGGCUCGCCCACCACAAGGACCAACCCAUAAACCUUUUUGCAAUGGCAAUCAGCGUCAGUAACAAUGUAAUAAUUUACAACUUUCAACAACGGAUCUCUUGGUUCUGGCAUCGAUGAAGAACGCAGCGAAAUGCGAUAAGUAGUGUGAAUUGCAGAAUUCAGUGAAUCAUCGAAUCUUUGAACGCACAUUGCGCCCUUUGGUAUUCCAAAGGGCAUGCCUGUUCGAGCGUCAUUUGUACCCUCAAGCUUUGCUUGGUGUUGGGCGUCUUUUUGUCUCCCCUUGCGGGAGACUCGCCUUAAAGUCAUUGGCAGCCGGCCUACUGGUUUCGGAGCGCAGCACAAGUCGCGCUCUCUUCCAGCCCCAAGGUCUAGCAUCCACCAAGCCUUUUUUUUCAACUUUUGACCUCGGAUCAGGUAGGGAUACCCGCUGAACUUAAGCAUAUCAAUAAGGCC